UCAAAGGAACUCCAAAUUCUACAGCUAUUUUGUGAGCAACUCUUCAUUUUUCAUCGAAAUUCUACUGUUAUAUCAGCGGUUUAUUGUAACGCAUGCAAAGUUUAUGGUGUAAAAGGCCAAAUGCAGUGUCAUACGAGUUAAUGGUACCAGAUGGGUUGCGCAUAUGGUAAAUGCGUUGGAGAAUCUUCUCAAUGGUCUAAAAGCACAUAUUCAUAGUUAUACCACUAUCAGCUUGGAAAGCGACUACAGCACAACACAGAAAUCAAAGGCUAAGUUCUUUGCAAAGAAAUUGGUUGAUCAGCACUUAAUGUCGACGGCGAUCUAUAUUCUUGAUGUGUGUAGAGCAAUGACAAUUUUUUCAGAGGCAUUAGUAAG
Non-coding RNA from Hydra vulgaris (swiftwater hydra), 375 nucleotides. Lineage: Eukaryota; Metazoa; Cnidaria; Hydrozoa; Anthoathecata; Hydridae. The record is from RefSeq and is a predicted model, not a curated record.